CAGUUAAACUUCUUUAAUUCAAUUUCAGCUUUUUCACCCCUUUUCAGUAAAAUAUUUCAGUUUUUUCACCACUUUUCAGCACAAAUCCUUCACCUCUUUUCAGCGCAAAGUUCUGCUUCUUUCCAUCUUUUCUACAGAAACUCUGCUCAUUCACCUCUUUUCAGCGGAAUUUUCAGAAUUUUCACCUCUUUUCAGCCCAAAUUCUGCUUAUUCACCUCUUCUGCAAAAUGUUCACCCUUUUCACCUCUUAUCAGCACAAAUCUCAGCUGUUUUCAGAAAAAACCUCUUUUGAGCAGAAAUUCUGCUGAUUCAUCGCUUUUCAGCGCAACUGUUUGCUUCUUUACCUCUUUUCAGCAGAAAUUCUGCUGAGUCACCUCUUUUCUGCAAAAUUUCCAGCCCUUUUACCUCUUAUCAGCACAAUUCUCAGCCGCUUCUGCUCAUUUCAGCCAAAUUGUCCGUCUCUCCACCUUUUCUUUGCGAGAGUGACUUUGGCUCAGUGAAAUGAAUAGCUGCCUUGAGACCAGGAGGGCCAGGUUCGAAUCCUGCUCACGGUGACAUUUUUUUGAAAUUCAGAGCUGAAAUUCUGAAACGGGAGGCAUUUUCAAAUCGCCAAAUCUCUUUAACAAAGCAAAGUUAGGACAUGAGGCUUGUGCCAAUAUAUCUUCAGACACUGCUGACACUCACAGUGGAAGCAGUUUUUACAAUUAUCUUACCGUUGAGCAAUGAAUUACGUUUGUUUGAGGGGUGGAAAUCUGUCCUUCUCUUAGUCUUCAAACUCUGGAAAUGAAGCCGUUUCUUCUCUCGUCAUAUCUCCGCGACGGAGGUAGAACGAGCUAUGAAAAUCGCAGUCAAAAUACACCAAAGUCCGCUGAUUCACCCAGUACAAGAAUUAUGCUGCUAGCCCUCCUAGUUUUUGAGUUACACGACGUUUUGUAACUCCAAAAAACGGCGUU
This 953-nucleotide long non-coding RNA is filed under the name Oreochromis niloticus (Nile tilapia). RNAcentral's name for it is "lncRNA (ENSONIG00000037552.1)". The record is from RNAcentral. Lineage: Eukaryota; Metazoa; Chordata; Actinopteri; Cichliformes; Cichlidae.